ACGAGUGGCGGACGGGUGAGUAAUGUCUGGGGAUCUGCCUGAUGGAGGGGGAUAACUACUGGAAACGGUAGCUAAUACCGCAUAAUGUCGCAAGACCAAAGUGGGGGGACUUUCGGGCCUCACACCAUCAGAUGAACCCAGAUGGGAUUAGCUAGUAGGUGGGGGUAAUGGCUCACCUAGGCGACGAUCCCUAACUGGUCUGAGAGGAUGACCAGUCACACUGGAACUGAGACACGGUCCAG
Molecule: ribosomal RNA, 242 nt
Filed under: uncultured bacterium
Lineage: Bacteria
Description: partial 16S ribosomal RNA
Rfam family: Bacterial small subunit ribosomal RNA
Source: RNAcentral